UGGGAAUUUUGGACAAUGGGCGCAAGCCUGAUCCAGCCAUGCCGCGUGCGGGAAGAAGGCCUUCGGGUUGUAAACCGCUUUUGUCAGGGAAGAAAUCUUCUGAGUUAAUACCUCGGGAGGAUGACGGUACCUGAAGAAUAAGCACCGGCUAACUACGUGCCAGCAGCCGCGGUAAUACGUAGGGUGCAAGCGUUAAUCGGAAUUACUGGGCGUAAAGCGUGCGCAGGCGGUUUUGUAAGACAGAGGUGAAAUCCCCGGGCUCAACCUGGGAACUGCCUUUGUGACUGCAAGGCUUGAGUGCGGCAGAGGGGGAUGGAAUUCCGCGUGUAGCAGUGAAAUGCGUAGAUAUGCGGAGG
RNAcentral lists this ribosomal RNA (356 nucleotides) under uncultured bacterium. RNAcentral describes it as "partial 16S ribosomal RNA". It matches the Rfam family "Bacterial small subunit ribosomal RNA", at positions 356 to 704 of the family's 1533-position model. The record is from RNAcentral.